Molecule: ribosomal RNA, 489 nt
Filed under: uncultured bacterium
Lineage: Bacteria
Description: partial 16S ribosomal RNA
Rfam family: Bacterial small subunit ribosomal RNA
Source: RNAcentral
UUGCACGCUGGCGGCAGGCUUCACACAUGCCAGUCGAGCGGUAGCACAAGAGAGCUUGCUCUCUGGGUGACGAGCGGCGGACGGGUGAGUAAUGUCUGGGAAACUGCCUGAUGGAGGGGGAUAACUACUGGAAACGGUAGCUAAUACCGCAUAACGUCGCAAGACCAAAGAGGGGGACCUUCGGGCCUCUUGCCAUCAGAUGUGCCCAGAUGGGAUUAGCUAGUAGGUGGGGUAAUGGCUCACCUAGGCGACGAUCCCUAGCUGGUCUGAGAGGAUGACCAGCCACACUGGAACUGAGACACGGUCCAGACUCCUACGGGAGGCAGCAGUGGGGAAUAUUGCACAAUGGGCGCAAGCCUGAUGCAGCCAUGCCGCGUGUGUGAAGAAGGCCUUCGGGUUGUAAAGCACUUUCAGCGAGGAGGAAGGUGGUGAACUUAAUACGUUCAUCAAUUGACGUUACUCGCAGAAGAAGCACCGGCUAACUCCGUG